CCUAUGGGAGGCAGCAGUGGGGGAUAUUGCACAAUGGGGGGAACCCUGAUGCAGCGACGCCGCGUGGGUGAAGGAGCGUUUAGGCGCGUAAAGCCCUAUCGGCAGGGAAGAAGAUGACGGUACCUGGCCAAGAAGCCCAGGCUAACUACGGGCAAGCAGCCGCGGUAAUAAGUAGGGGGCCAGCGUUAUACGGAUUUACUGGGUGUUAUGGGGGCGCAGACGGCAUUGCAAGCCAGUAGUGAAAGCCCGGGGCCCAACCCCGGGACUGCUCUUGGAACUGCAUGGCUGGAGUACAGGAGGGGCAGGCGGAAUUCGUAGUGUAGCGGUGAAAUGCGUAGAUAUUAGGAGGAACACCGGUGGCGAAGGCGGCCUGCUGGACUGUGACUGACGUUGAGGCCCGAAGGCGUGGGGAGCAAACAGGAUUAGAUACCCCGGUAGUC
This 440-nucleotide ribosomal RNA is filed under the name uncultured bacterium. Its description in RNAcentral is "partial 16S ribosomal RNA". It matches the Rfam family "Bacterial small subunit ribosomal RNA", at positions 338 to 795 of the family's 1533-position model. The record is from RNAcentral.